GAUGAAGAACGCAGCGAAAUGCGAUAAGUAAUGUGAAUUGCAGAAUUCAGUGAAUCAUCGAAUCUUUGAACGCACAUUGCGCCCCUUGGUAUUCCAUGGGGCAUGCCUGUUCGAGCGUCAUUUGUACCUUCAAGCUUUGCUUGGUGUUGGGUGUUUGUCCUGAGGGACUCGCCUUAAAGUAAUUGGCAGCCAGUGUUUGGUUUUGAAGCGCAGCACAAGUCGCGAUUCAAAGCUAUACGCCCGCUUCCACAAGCCUUUUUCACUUUUGACCUCGGAUCAGGUAGGGAUACCCGCUGAACUUAAGCAUAUCAAUAAGCGGAGGA
Molecule: unclassified non-coding RNA, 323 nt
Filed under: soil metagenome
Description: partial contains 5.8S ribosomal RNA, internal transcribed spacer 2, and large subunit ribosomal RNA
Rfam family: 5.8S ribosomal RNA (bases 1-120)
Source: RNAcentral